CCUACGGGAGGCAGCAGUGGGGAAUAUUGCGCAAUGGGCGAAAGCCUGACGCAGCCAUGCCGCGUGUGUGAAGAAGGCCUUCGGGUUGUAAAGCACUUUCAAUUGGGAGGAAAGGCUCAUGACUAAUACUCGUGAGCUGUGACGUUACCUUUAGAAGAAGCACCGGCUAACUCCGUGCCAGCAGCCGCGGUAAUACGGAGGGUGCGAGCGUUAAUCGGAAUUACUGGGCGUAAAGCGCGCGUAGGUGGUCUGUUAAGUCGGAUGUGAAAGCCCCGGGCUCAACCUGGGAACUGCAUCCGAUACUGGCAGACUAGAGUGCGGGAGAGGGAGGUAGAAUUCCACGUGUAGCGGUGAAAUGCGUAGAUAUGUGGAGGAAUACCAGUGGCGAAGGCGGCCUCCUGGCUCGACACUGACACUGAGGCACGAAAGCGUGGGGAGCAAACAGGAUUAGAUACCCUGGUAGUCCACGCCGUAAACGAUGUCAACUGGCUGUUGGUGGCAUAGAAGUCAUCAGUGGCGUAGCUAACGCGUUAAGUUGACCGCCUGGGGAGUACGGUCGCAAGAUUAAAACUCAAAGGAAUUGACGG
RNAcentral lists this ribosomal RNA (587 nucleotides) under uncultured bacterium. Its description in RNAcentral is "bacterial SSU rRNA". It matches the Rfam family "Bacterial small subunit ribosomal RNA", at positions 338 to 916 of the family's 1533-position model. The record is from RNAcentral.